CUUAUCAUUUCCCCCCUUGGGAAGUGGCAGAAGAGUGGCCAGGUAAAUAGAGUAUCAUCCCUGCAGGGUGACAUUAUCCUGCACAGAAUUCGUCCAUCACAAGGAGAGGUGGGAUAUUGCAUGGAAAGUCUCAGGUAACCAGGGCAACAUUCGACACCAGAGCCUUAACCUGUUAGGGAAUAGUAAGAGCUUGGACAGGCUUUGGGGCCUGUAUAAUUCAGGUAAAGGUAUUGGGGGAACUAGCUAGGACCCUUGCCUCUUGGUCAGGUUUCACUGUGUGGAACAAAAUAAAUAAUAAGGUGAUAGGGGCCUGCAAGUGGGGGAAGGACAUCUGCACCUAGCAGAUUAAUUGGACAGGUGAAGGUAUCCACAAAGCAAGGCUUAGUUAACAGGCUACUCCAAGGAGAGCCAUCUACACUUAUGCAGGAGACAACAAUGUUAGACAGGAAUGAGGAGUCAGGCAGGCCUUACUUGGUACAAAUAGAUGUCAUGUGGCCUGCUAUACAAGGCUGCAUAUAGUUAUUGGGCAUGGGCCUUACUAUGUACUAAAACUUAAGUUAAAAGAAAAUUUGGGACAACCUGAAGUGAUGCUUCUCCACAGAUGCUAACUCAUCGUUGAUGACAUUGUUAAUACAGGUAGCCUGAUCAGCCAAUUUAUCUUAGGCUUAAACAAGUCACACCAUGUAGUGGAAUGGGUCAUUAGGAUUCGG
Pelobates cultripes (western spadefoot toad) is the source of this 710-nucleotide non-coding RNA. The record is from the annotation of a GenBank genome assembly. Lineage: Eukaryota; Metazoa; Chordata; Amphibia; Anura; Pelobatidae.